Molecule: microRNA precursor, 105 nt
Filed under: Schmidtea mediterranea
Lineage: Eukaryota; Metazoa; Platyhelminthes; Tricladida; Dugesiidae
Description: microRNA sme-mir-87d precursor
Gene: sme-mir-87d
Source: miRBase by way of RNAcentral
UUACAUUGUUUUAGAAUUAUAAUGUCUUAUAUUUUGCUAUUAUCAUUGUUUCAAUGAAAAUGGUGAGCAAAGUUUAAGACAUUCAUAUUUUGAAAUUUUCUUCCU